This 293-nucleotide ribosomal RNA is filed under the name uncultured bacterium. Its description in RNAcentral is "partial 16S ribosomal RNA". It matches the Rfam family "Bacterial small subunit ribosomal RNA", at positions 505 to 796 of the family's 1533-position model. The record is from RNAcentral.
GUGCCAGCAGCCGCGGUAACACGUGGGAGGCGAGCGUUGUCCGGAUUCAUUGGGCGUAAAGAGCGCGCAGGCGGCUAAGCAAGUCGGUUGUGAAAUCCCGUUGGCUCAACCACGGAACUGCAUCCGAUACUGCUUGGCUAGAGGUAGGUAGGGGAGAUCGGAAUUCCUGGUGUAGCGGUGAAAUGCGCAGAUAUCAGGAGGAACACCGGUGGCGAAGGCGGAUCUCUGGGCCUUACCUGACGCUCAGGCGCGAAAGCUAGGGGAGCGAACAGGAUUAGAAACCCGCGUAGUCC